This 329-nucleotide ribosomal RNA is filed under the name uncultured eukaryote. RNAcentral's name for it is "partial 18S ribosomal RNA". It matches the Rfam family "Eukaryotic small subunit ribosomal RNA", at positions 1470 to 1796 of the family's 1831-position model. The record is from RNAcentral.
CCCUUAGAUGUUCUGGGCCGCACGCGCGCUACACUGGUGCAUUCAACGAGUCUAAAACCUGCUCUGAUAGGGGUGGGUAAUCUUUUGAAUGUGCAUCGUGAUUGGGAUAGAUGAUUGCAAUUUUUCAUCUUCAACGAGGAAUGCCUAGUAAACGCAAGUCAUCAGCUUGCAUUGAUUACGUCCCUGCCCUUUGUACACACCGCCCGUCGCUCCUACCGAUUGAAUGAUCCGAUGAAUAUCAUGGAUUGAGGAUGUAAGCAGGUUCGCCUGUCUUCAUCUUCGAGAAGUGAAGUAAAUCUUAUCAUUUAGAGGAAGGAGAAGUCGUAACA